This is an RNA transcript of Chelonia mydas (Green sea turtle), 4220 nucleotides long. It is a transcript of the gene named tripartite motif containing 37, with no coding region annotated. NCBI's taxonomy places the organism in Eukaryota, Metazoa, Chordata, Testudines, Cheloniidae. The record is from RefSeq and is a predicted model, not a curated record. The transcript has 27 exons.
GGAUCACGUGAGGGAGGGGUCGGCCCGGCUCCCUCAGCCGCAGGGCGGGCUGGCGGGAGGCCGCGCUGAGGGAGGAGCCGCCGGCGCCCCUGACCCCCCGGGGCGAACAUGGCCGGGGCUGCGGCCGGGACCUGCUCCCCGGGGCGCUGGGGAGCCUCCCCGCUGCGGGCGGGCGCCGGGAGAGCCGAGGCCAUGGACGAGCAGAGCGUGGAGAGCAUUGCUGAGGUGUUCCGAUGUUUUAUUUGUAUGGAAAAGUUGCGUGAUGCACGUCUGUGUCCACAUUGCUCCAAGCUAUGUUGUUUCAGUUGCAUUCGGCGUUGGCUGACUGAACAAAGAGCUCAGUGCCCUCACUGUCGCGCCCCACUCCAGCUACGGGAACUUGUAAACUGUCGUUGGGCAGAAGAAGUUACGCAACAGCUUGACACACUUCAACUAUGCAAUCUCACUAAGCAUGAAGAAAAUGAAAAAGACAAGUGUGAAAACCAUCAUGAAAAACUCAGUGUAUUCUGCUGGACAUGUAAGAAAUGUAUCUGCCACCAGUGUGCUCUCUGGGGAGGAAUGCAUGGAGGACAUACUUUUAAGCCAUUAGCUGAAAUUUAUGAGCAACAUGUCACAAAAGUGAAUGAGGAGGUAGCAAAACUUCGGAGGAGACUCAUGGAGCUAAUCAGUCUAGUGCAAGAAGUGGAGAGGAAUGUAGAGGCAGUGCGCAGCGCAAAGGAUGAGCGAGUUCGGGAAAUUAGGAAUGCAGUGGAGAUGAUGAUUGCCCGAUUAGACACUCAACUGAAGAACAAGCUUAUAACACUAAUGGGUCAAAAGACAUCACUCACCCAAGAAACUGAACUUCUGGAGUCCCUGCUGCAGGAAGUAGAACACCAGCUACGAUCAUGCAGUAAGAGUGAGUUGAUAUCUAAAAGCUCGGAGAUUCUGAUGAUGUUUCAGCAGGUUCACCGGAAGCCUAUGGCAUCCUUUGUCACUACUCCUGUCCCUCCAGACUUCACAAGUGAAUUAGUACCAGCCUAUGACUCAACCACCUUUGUCUUGGAAAACUUCAGCACUUUGCGCCAGCGGGCAGAUCCUGUGUACAGUCCACCUCUUCAAGUGUCAGGGCUUUGCUGGCGACUAAAGGUUUAUCCAGAUGGAAAUGGAGUUGUGCGUGGUUACUACUUGUCUGUGUUUCUAGAGCUCUCAGCUGGAUUGCCAGAAACAUCCAAAUAUGAGUACCGUGUGGAGAUGGUUCACCAGUCCACCAAUGAUCCUGCUAAAAAUAUAAUUAGAGAGUUUGCCUCUGACUUUGAAGUUGGAGAAUGCUGGGGUUAUAACAGAUUCUUUCGAUUGGACUUGCUUGCCAAUGAAGGGUAUUUGAACAGACAAAAUGACACUGUAAUUCUUAGGUUCCAGGUGCGUUCACCUACCUUCUUCCAAAAGUGUCGGGAUCAACACUGGUACAUUACUCAGUUAGAAGCUGCUCAGACAAGCUACAUCCAACAAAUAAACAACCUUAAAGAGAGACUUGCAAUUGAGCUUUCCCGUACCCAAAAAUCACGAGGAAUGUCACCUCCAGACACUCAUCUUAGCCCCCAGAAUGAUGAUGGUCCAGAAACAAGACCAAAGAAAUCUGGACCAAAUCCUGAGGUACUACUUGAGAGUGUCACCACUCCAGCAUUAGUAAGAGAUGCCAAGGAUGAUGAAGAGGAGAAAAUCCAGCAUGAAGAUUUCAAUUAUGAGCUCUCGGAUGGUGAUCUGGAUGUAGACCUUGCUGGUGAAGAUGAGGUAAACCACCUAGAUGGCAGCAGCUCCUCUGCUAGUUCAACAGCUACUAGUAACACUGAAGAGAAUGAUAUUGAUGAAGAGACUAUGUCUGGAGAAAAUGACGUGGAAUAUAAUAGUAAUAUGGAGCUAGAAGAAGGAGAUCUUCAGGAUGAUGCUGCUGCUGCUGGUGGAGCAUCAGGUAGUAGCCAUGGCUAUGCCAAUGCAAGUGGCAGAUCUUCAAGGCGGGGAGGAAGUACUUUAGGCUCAGCAGCCAGCAGCAGUUUACUAGACAUAGAUCCCUUAAUUUUAAUCCAUUUAUUGGACCUAAAAGACAGGAAUGGGAUGGAAAAUCUGUGGGGUCUACAGCCACGCCCUCCUGCCUCACUUCUGCAGAACAGAGCAUCAUCCUACUCUCUAAAAGACCGAGACCAGCGGAGGCACCAGGCAAUGUGGCGUGUGCCACCUGACUUAAAGAUGCUGAAGAGACUCAAAACUCAGAUGGCUGAAGUUCGAAGCAAAAUGUCUGAUGUAAAAAACCAGCUGUCAGAAGUAAGAAGCAGCAAUGCUGGCUCUUGUGAGGGGCAACCCAGCUUCCUCCCUGGUGAUCAGGGGCCUUUGGCUGCCUGUGGAACAGAAAGCUGCAGCAAGUUACAAGAAAUAGGAAUGGAAUUGCUGACAAAAUCAUCAAUUACAAGCUGUUACAUAAAGAGUUUCACGAGUAAGAAAAGUAAUUCACCCAAAGCUACUCGUUCUGGAGCAGCAGGAAGCCUGUCUCUUCGAAGAGCAAUGGACUGUGGGGACAAUAAUCUUCGCUCAAAGGGAGACUGCCAGACUUCCUCUGAAGGUUCAAUAGGAAGCUCAAAGUCUGGCAGUAGGCAUAGCUCUCCCAGGUCCUUGACUAAUGGUAAUACUCCUGAUGCACUGCCUAAGCCAGAGGAAAAAGAGUGCGAAGGCUCAGAUUCUGAUGUGGGCAUUUCUGCUUUAAACGGCUUAACAACUGUGGAGAAGACAAGAAAAGCUGUCGCUCUGGGGUCAAAUUCUAAAGGAUGUCAUACAGAAGGAACACAACCAACUGAUCUAGAGAACAACUUGGAAACUGGGGAGCUACAGGCCAUUCUCUCUGAAGGCACCUCAGUAGAGCCAGAGGAAGCCCGAGAAUUUCACAUUGGUGUGUCUUGGGAAAGAAAGGAAGCUGAGAACUUUAUGGCUACAGGAAUCUCAUUGCAGCAGGUUCUCCUUUGCUCUUUGCAGCUGGGCUAUGUCAGAAGCACGUCCUUCACCUCCUGCCAGGCAUGAGCAGCGAUAGUGACAUUGAAUGUGACACAGAAAAUGAAGAGCAGGAGGAUGCCUCAUCCACCUCAGAUGCGUUUAAUCAUGCCUUUGAUGUCCAGCCCUCAAGUGAAGUUGCCCCUGCCCAAGGCUGAAAGCCACAGAACAGGUGUAAUGUUAUGGCAUUGUGGGCAGGAUGCAGAGAGCAUCUGCUGAGUACAGCAGGUCCUACGGUCACUGCAAAGCUGUGGUAUCAGAGUGGAGAGCUGGGGAAGAGGCAUGGGAACCUGUGGCUUCAGAUUCACCAUCCCAGUUGUGAGUAAAGGAUACAGCUGCUUUGGGGGCUACAGUAGCAGCCAGCACUAUUAGAGCUGUGUUCAGUUUUUUCUGAAGGUGAUCCAAUAGGCCCUGAAGACCUCAGCUUUGGUACCGGAGAGGACAAUGCAAGGUAGAGGAUUGGCUUGUUGACUGCAGAAGACUUUGAAGAGUUGGAUUAACACUAGCCUGCUUGUGUCCCUGAGAAGAGGCACACUUCAUAAUGCUUAUUUAUUCCAUCUGUAUUUUUCUCGUAGGGUGUGCACGCACUCCAUUGUACUGAAUAUAAAAGAUUAUGUAGUUCUUCCAUGGCUGUUUUAAACCUGUUAAUAGGGCAAGUUGCCCUAUGAAAAAACUUAGCAAGACUGUAUUCUUCAUGGCUUUGGCAGGUUCAAAUGCAGAUUCUGAACAAUGUUCAAAAGGUGCUAGAGCGUUGUUCACAUUUGUCUCUUUAUCAUACGAUUGAAGCAGAGAAUGUUGGGGAAUAGCCUUCCCUUUUUAUUAUUAAUGGUAUGAAAACAUUGUAGUUGUAUUCAUAGGGAUUUAAGCUAUUUAAAGGUAGGGUGAAAGUGGCCUGCACAAGAGUUAGUGUUUUUUCUUCAGUCUCUAAUUUGGACCAACUGAGAACAUUGUUGCCAAACUUUUUACCACUGUGCGUUGCAUUUGAGCAGCUAAAAUGUUUUGUGAAGCUAUAAUGAAAGCUGAAUAACUGGCUAGUGAAAAAGCAUGAAUAAGUGUAUAAAUGUUAGUUGUGUUCUUGUCUCAUCUGACUGUACUUGCUGAAACAUUCGUUUUGUAUGUAAUGUUCCCAGUGUUUAAGUGCGUACAAAUCAUAUAGUUUAGUUUAAAACUGUUUGCACUUUUUGUUAAUAAAAUGAACAUUGAAA